ACGGGUGAGUAACACGUGGGUGAUCUGCCCUGCACUUCGGGAUAAGCCUGGGAAACUGGGUCCAAUACCGGAUAGGACGAUGGUUUGGAUGCCAUUGUGGAAAGUUUUUUCGGUGUGGGAUGAGCUCGCGGCCUAUCAGCUUGUUGGUGGGGUAAUGGCCUACCAAGGCGUCGACGGGUGGCCGGCCUGAGAGGGUGUACGGCCACAUUGGGACUGAGAUACGGCCCAG
This 229-nucleotide ribosomal RNA is filed under the name uncultured Actinomycetales bacterium. Its description in RNAcentral is "partial 16S ribosomal RNA". It matches the Rfam family "Bacterial small subunit ribosomal RNA", at positions 102 to 334 of the family's 1533-position model. The record is from RNAcentral. Lineage: Bacteria; Bacillati; Actinomycetota; Actinomycetes; Actinomycetales.